CCAGACUCCUACGGGAGGCAGCAGUGGGGAAUAUUGCACAAUGGGGGAAACCCUGAUGCAGCGACGCCGCGUGAGCGAUGAAGUAUUUCGGUAUGUAAAGCUCUAUCAGCAGGGAAGAAAAUGACGGUACCUGACUAAGAAGCCCCGGCUAACUACGUGCCAGCAGCCGCGGUAAUACGUAGGGGGCAAGCGUUAUCCGGAUUCACUGGGUGUAAAGGGAGCGUAGACGGCGACGCAAGUCUGGAGUGAAAGCCCGGGGCCCAACCCCGGGACUGCCCUUGGAACUGCAUGGCUGGAGUGCGGGAGGGGCAGGCGGAAUUCCUGGUGUAGCGGUGAAAUGCGUAGAUAUCAGGAGGAACACCGGCGGCGAAGGCGGCCUGCUGGACCGCGACUGACGUUGAGGCUCGAAAGCGUGGGGAGCGAACAGGAUUAGAUACCCCCGUAGCC
This 447-nucleotide ribosomal RNA is filed under the name uncultured bacterium. Its description in RNAcentral is "bacterial SSU rRNA". It matches the Rfam family "Bacterial small subunit ribosomal RNA", at positions 331 to 795 of the family's 1533-position model. The record is from RNAcentral.